RNAcentral lists this long non-coding RNA (603 nucleotides) under Dermacentor andersoni. RNAcentral describes it as "uncharacterized LOC126536858". The record is from RNAcentral. Lineage: Eukaryota; Metazoa; Arthropoda; Arachnida; Ixodida; Ixodidae.
GCUCUGGCACGGCUGCACGAUGGAAACGCACCGUGGCUUUGGCCCCUCUGACCAGAUCUUGGCCGCCAUAAUUUGUCGUCCAGACCAUGUAACGUGCCUAUGGCCCAGGCAGUCCAGCCGAACGUUGGUUCAGAUCUAGUUCAAAUACAGCGCACGCACUUGCAACAAAUUAAAUGCAGUGCAUUAAACCCGUGCUCACACCUUGGCUUAUAAAUUUCGACUUGUGCAUUAUUUUUUCUGCAUAACGCCUGCGGUACUCCUCUUUUGCCCAACACAUACUGCUUCACACAGAUGCAAAAUCGGAGAACGUGAGCUGAGCAGAUAGUGGAACCACAGAACACCUGCUGGUGGAACUUUGUGGCCCUGAAAUGGAACUCGCUUAAAUAAAGUUGCUUGAUCGAAGCAAGCACCCCACUGGAACCCUUUCACCAUCUGAGGUCUUCCAAGGAUAUGAUCAGAGACACACAAGUGAAACUUUUUUGCCAGCAAAAUUUAACCUAAAGCUUAGCAAAAGUGUACUGCAGGAAAACUCGCAAGGCUGAAAGAACCGAAACAGCAAAGAAAGCAGCUGCAAGGCAGGUCAGUGAACUUCGGCAGCCUCGG